UGGGGAAUCUUGCGCAAUGGGCGAAAGCCUGACGCAGCAACGCCGCGUGGGGGAAGAAGGCUUUCGGGUUGUAAACCUCUUUCAGGGGGGACGAAGCCACCGGGGUUAAUAGCCCACGGGGUGACGGUACCCCCAGAAGAAGCCCCGGCUAACUACGUGCCAGCAGCCGCGGUAAUACGUAGGGGGCAAGCGUUGUCCGGAAUCAUUGGGCGUAAAGCGCGUGUAGGUGGCUUGGUAAGUCCGGUGUGAAACCUUGGGGCUCAACCCCAAGCCUGCAUCGGAUACUGCCUCGCUCGAGUUCGGGAGGGGAGAGCGGAAUUCCUAGUGUAGCGGUGAAAUGCGCAGAUAUUAGGAAGAACACCGGUGGCGAAGGCGGCUCUCUGGAACGAUACUGACACUGAGACGCGAAAGCGUGGGUAGCGAACAGGAUUAGAUACCCCCGUAGUCCCUGAGCGGGCUGGCAAGGCGCAU
This 471-nucleotide ribosomal RNA is filed under the name uncultured bacterium. Its description in RNAcentral is "bacterial SSU rRNA". It matches the Rfam family "Bacterial small subunit ribosomal RNA", at positions 355 to 825 of the family's 1533-position model. The record is from RNAcentral.